Molecule: ribosomal RNA, 429 nt
Filed under: Bacteroidota bacterium
Lineage: Bacteria; Pseudomonadati; Bacteroidota
Description: Bacteroidetes bacterium partial 16S ribosomal RNA
Rfam family: Bacterial small subunit ribosomal RNA
Source: RNAcentral
UAGGGAAUCUUCGGCAAUGGGGGGAACCCUGACCGAGCAACGCCGCGUGAGUGAAGGAGGUUUUCGGAUCGUAAAGCUCUGUUGUUAAGGAAGAACGAGUGUGAGAAUGGAAAGUUCAUACUGUGACGGUACUUAACCAGAAAGGGACGGCUAACUACGUGCCAGCAGCCGCGGUAAUACGUAGGUCCCGAGCGUUGUCCGGAUUUAUUGGGCGUAAAGCGAGCGCAGGCGGUUAGAUAAGUCUGAAGUUAAAGGCAGUGGCUCAACCAUUGUAGGCUUUGGAAACUGUUUAACUUGAGUGCAGAAGGGGAGAGUGGAAUUCCAUGUGUAGCGGUGAAAUGCGUAGAUAUAUGGAGGAACACCGGUGGCGAAAGCGGCUCUCUGGUCUGUAACUGACGCUGAGGCUCGAAAGCGUGGGGAGCGAACAGG